This 338-nucleotide unclassified non-coding RNA is filed under the name soil metagenome. RNAcentral describes it as "partial contains 5.8S ribosomal RNA, internal transcribed spacer 2, and large subunit ribosomal RNA". The stretch from base 1 to 120 matches the Rfam family "5.8S ribosomal RNA", at positions 35 to 154 of the family's 154-position model. The record is from RNAcentral.
GAUUAAGAACGUAGCGAAAUGCGAUAAGUAAUGUGAAUUGCAGAAUUCAGUGAAUCAUCGAAUCUUUGAACGCACAUUGCGCCCGGCAGUACUCUGCCGGGCAUGCCUGUUCGAGCGUCAUUUCAACCCUCAAGCCCUGCUUGGUGUUGGGGCCCCACGGCUGCCGUGGGCCCUGAAAGGAAGUGGCGGGCUCGCUACAACUCCGAGCGUAGUAAUUCAUUAUCUCGCUUAGGGCGUUGGGCGGCGCUCCAGCCGUUAAAGAACCAUCUUUAACUCAAGGUUGACCUCGGAUCAGGUAGGAAUACCCGCUGAACUUAAGCAUAUCAAUAAGCGGAGGA